GGAGUUAGCCGGUGCUUCUUCUGUGAGUGAUGUCCUUCCUGCCGGCUAUUAACCCGCAGGCCUUCUUCCUCACUGAAAGUGCUUUACAACCCGAAGGCCUUCUUCACACACGCGGCAUGGCUGGAUCAGGGUUGCCCCCAUUGUCCAAUAUUCCCCACUGCUGCCUCCCGUAGGAGUCUGGGCCGUGUCUCAGUCCCAGUGUGGCUGAUCAUCCUCUCAGACCAGCUACGGAUCGUCGCCUUGGUGAGCCGUUACCUCACCAACCAGCUAAUCCGACAUAGGCUCAUCCGAUAGCGCGAGGCCCGAAGGUCCCCCGCUUUCCCCCGUAGGGCGUAUUCGGUAUUAGCCUGGGUUUCCCCAGGUUAUCCCCCACUACCGGGCAGAUUCCUAUGCAUUACUCACCCGUCCGCCGCUCGCCACCAGGGAGCAAGCUCCCCGUGCUGCCGCUCGACUUGCAUGUGUUAGGCCUGCCGCCAGCGUUCAAUCUGAGCCAGGAUCAAACUCUGA
RNAcentral lists this ribosomal RNA (507 nucleotides) under uncultured bacterium. Its description in RNAcentral is "partial 16S ribosomal RNA". The record is from RNAcentral.